AGUGAACGCUGGCGGUAGGCCUAACACAUGCAAGUCGAACGGCAGCACAGUAAGAGCUUGCUCUUACGGGUGGCGAGUGGCGGACGGGUGAGGAAUACAUCGGAAUCUACUUUUUCGUGGGGGAUAACGUAGGGAGACUUACGCUAAUACCGCAUACGACCUACGGGUGAAAGCAGGGGAUCUUCGGACCUUGCGCGAUUGAAUGAGCCGAUGUCGGAUUAGCUAGUUGGCGGGGUAAAGGCCCACCAAGGCGACGAUCCGUAGCUGGUCUGAGAGGAUGAUCAGCCACACUGGAACUGAGACACGGUCCAGACCCCUACGGGAGGCAGCAGUGGGGAAUAUUGGACAAUGGGCGCAAGCCUGAUCCAGCCAUACCGCGUGGGUGAAGAAGGCCUUCGGGUUGUAAAGCCCUUUUGUUGGGAAAGAAAAGCAGCAGGUUAAUACCCCGCUGUUCUGACGGUACCCAAAGAAUAAGCACCGGCUAACUUCGUG
This 492-nucleotide ribosomal RNA is filed under the name uncultured bacterium. RNAcentral's name for it is "partial 16S ribosomal RNA". It matches the Rfam family "Bacterial small subunit ribosomal RNA", at positions 29 to 507 of the family's 1533-position model. The record is from RNAcentral.